GGAGCACCCUGCCGGAGUGAGCGGCUAGCAAAAUACAACCAGCUUCUACGUAUCGAAGAAGAACUUGGAGAUGUUCGUUAUGCUGGUGAAUCUUUCAGAUCUCCUUGAGAAAGCAGUCAAAAGUUAAAAGAAGGAUAGGGAGAAUCCAGAAAAGUUUUUCUUUUGUUGUAUACUCAAUCGGCAUUGUUGUUAGAUAUGUUGUAUUCGUGGAGGAUCAGGUAGGCAUUAGAAGCUACAUCUGGUCGACUUUUCGUGCAGUUCUUUUUUGAAUUUUGUUCAAGUCUUUCAUGCGUGUGAACUUUAGUAUCACAAACACAGUUCCCUGUCUGUAGUAGUUGUGCUCUCUUAAUCAAAA
RNAcentral lists this unclassified non-coding RNA (355 nucleotides) under Hevea brasiliensis (rubber tree). The record is from RNAcentral. Lineage: Eukaryota; Viridiplantae; Streptophyta; Magnoliopsida; Malpighiales; Euphorbiaceae.